GUGUCCUACUGCUUCACCAGUGCUCGAUUCAGUUGCUGACAGGUCUUUCAACAUGGUACCAACAGCAUUCAUUUGUCUGUGCCUAGUAUCUGCUUCCGCUGCAACAACCUACAAUCGUGUUUGGCACCUUGGGUCGAAACGGAAAGACAUCUUGAACCGGGAGAAGGCGCGCCUGAGCUCAAGAGUCAGUGUCUGCACAGACGACACCAUUCGCCCCUGAGUGGAAUCUGCAACGACAACCUCGACAACCUUAGAUUGGGGUAUACGGACGGAGACUAAUCAACCCGGAAUAUGAUGAUG
Molecule: long non-coding RNA, 300 nt
Organism: Haliotis rubra (blacklip abalone)
Lineage: Eukaryota; Metazoa; Mollusca; Gastropoda; Lepetellida; Haliotidae
Exons: 4
Source: RefSeq, a predicted model, not a curated record